AACGCUAGCUACAGGCUUAACACAUGCAAGUCGAGGGGAAACGACAUCGAAAGCUUGCUUUUGAUGGGUGUCGACCGGCGCACGGGUGAGUAACGCGUAUCCAACCUGCCCACCACUUGGGGAUAACCUUGCGAAAGUAAGACUAAUACCCAAUGAUAUCUCUAGAAGACAUCUGAAAGAGAUUAAAGAUUUAUCGGUGAUGGAUGGGGAUGCGUCUGAUUAGCUUGUUGGCGGGGUAACGGCCCACCAAGGCGACGAUCAGUAGGGGUUCUGAGAGGAAGGUCCCCCACAUUGGAACUGAGACACGGUCCAAACUCCUACGGGAGGCAGCAGUGAGGAAUAUUGGUCAAUGGGCGAGAGCCUGAACCAGCCAAGUAGCGUGCAGGAUGACGGCCCUAUGGGUUGUAAACUGCUUUUAUAAGGGAAUAAAGUGAGAGUCGUGACUCUUUUUGCAUGUACCUUAUGAAUAAGGACCGGCUAAUUCCGUGCCAGCAGCCGCGGUAAUACGGAAGGUCCGGGCGUUAUCCGGAUUUAUUGGGUUUAAAGGGAGCGUAGGCCGGAGAUUAAGCGUGUUGUGAAAUGUAGGCGCUCAACGUCUGCACUGCAGCGCGAACUGGUUUCCUUGAGUACGCACAAAGUGGGCGGAAUUCGUGGUGUAGCGGUGAAAUGCUUAGAUAUCACGAAGAACUCCGAUUG
RNAcentral lists this ribosomal RNA (696 nucleotides) under uncultured bacterium. RNAcentral's name for it is "bacterial SSU rRNA". It matches the Rfam family "Bacterial small subunit ribosomal RNA", at positions 32 to 715 of the family's 1533-position model. The record is from RNAcentral.